This 292-nucleotide ribosomal RNA is filed under the name uncultured bacterium. Its description in RNAcentral is "partial 16S ribosomal RNA". It matches the Rfam family "Bacterial small subunit ribosomal RNA", at positions 505 to 796 of the family's 1533-position model. The record is from RNAcentral.
GUGUCAGCAGCCGCGGUAAUACGGAGGGUGCAAGCGUUGUCCGGAUUCAUUGGGUUUAAAGGGUGCGCAGGCGGGACAUUAAGUCAGGGGUGAAAGACGGUUGCUCAACAAUCGCAGUGCCUUUGAUACUGGUGUUCUUGGGUGACCUUGAGGUAGGCGGAAUGGGUGGUGUAGCGGUGAAAUGCAUAGAUACCACCCAGAACUCCGAUUGCGAAGGCAGCCUACUGGAGGUUUACCGACGCUCAGGCACGAAAGCGUGGGGAUCAAACAGGAUUAGAUACCCUGGUAGUCC